RNAcentral lists this ribosomal RNA (438 nucleotides) under uncultured bacterium. RNAcentral describes it as "bacterial SSU rRNA". It matches the Rfam family "Bacterial small subunit ribosomal RNA", at positions 30 to 468 of the family's 1533-position model. The record is from RNAcentral.
AUUGAACGCUGGCGGCAUGCCUUACACAUGCAAGUCGAACGGCAGCACGGGAGCAAUCCUGGUGGCGAGUGGCGAACGGGUGAGUAAUGUAUCGGAACGUACCUUUCAGUGGGGGAUAACGUAGCGAAAGUUACGCUAAUACCGCAUAUUCUGUGAGCAGGAAAGCAGGGGAUCGCAAGACCUUGCGCUGAUUGAGCGGCCGAUAUCAGAUUAGCUAGUUGGUGAGGUAAAGGCUCACCAAGGCGACGAUCUGUAGCGGGUCUGAGAGGAUGAUCCGCCACACUGGAACUGAGACACGGUCCAGACUCCUACGGGAGGCAGCAGUGGGGAAUUUUGGACAAUGGGCGCAAGCCUGAUCCAGCCAUGCCGCGUGAGUGAAGAAGGCCUCGGUUGUAACCGUACUUUGGUCGAGGAACGAAACCUACGCGCUAUACGCGC